Molecule: long non-coding RNA, 624 nt
Organism: Gastrolobium bilobum
Lineage: Eukaryota; Viridiplantae; Streptophyta; Magnoliopsida; Fabales; Fabaceae
Exons: 3
Source: RefSeq, a predicted model, not a curated record
UCAAGGUUGUAAUUUAUGAUUGAGAUUCAAGUAUGGGCCUUUUACACUAAUAAUUCCAGUAUAAAUGUAUAUUGUGUUAUUAUGUUUCUCCUAUUCUUUAUCUCUCAGGGUUUUGAGAAGACAGAAUUGUUCAAGUAGAAGUCUGAUUUGUUUUUUGGCACUGUUUCUGUAAUAGGUCUCUCACAAUUGGUCAAAUGCAAGGAAAGUUUCAGAUGGUAGUUGUCAGACACACAGGGCAUGCUAUUCAGGAAGAUGUACCUGAUGAAUUUGCAACUCUGAUUAUCAACUUUAUUUCUCGUAACCGAAUAGGCCCUCAUGGAAUUGAGAUAUCUGGCCUCCGCAAGCCAGCCUUUUCAAAACCUUGAAUAUCAGGUAUUAGAUGAACCAACAAUGGCAACCACUGCAGGAUGACGAUGGAUUACUUUGAUAUUCCUUUCCUUUUUCUUAUGGUUUGCCUUUUUAGAUUUUUAGUAUUAUGAAUACUUGUAUGUUUUGUUGGGGGAGUUGUGUAGGUGAAGCAUUAUUUAUUUCAGAUUAUUAACAAAUAUGAUGAGCAUUAGAGGAAGAUGAGGCUGGACAUAGAUUUGCGCACAUUACAAGUGAAAUGAGUGACUUUAUCAUUAU